This 485-nucleotide ribosomal RNA is filed under the name uncultured bacterium. RNAcentral describes it as "partial 16S ribosomal RNA". It matches the Rfam family "Bacterial small subunit ribosomal RNA", at positions 28 to 507 of the family's 1533-position model. The record is from RNAcentral.
GAUGAACGCUAGCGACAGGCUUAACACAUGCAAGUCGAGGGGCAGCACCGGUAGCAAUACCGGGUGGCGACCGGCGCACGGGUGAGUAACGCGUAUGCAACUUACCUAUCAGAGGGGGAUAACCCGGCGAAAGUCGGACUAAUACCGCAUGAAGCAGGGGCCCCGCAUGGGGUUAUUUGCUAAAGAUCCAUCGCUGAUAGAUAGGCAUGCGUUCCAUUAGGCAGUUGGCGGGGUAACGGCCCACCAAACCGACGAUGGAUAGGGGUUCUGAGAGGAAGGUCCCCCACAGUGGUACUGAGACACGGACCAAACUCCUACGGGAGGCAGCAGUGAGGAAUAUUGGUCAAUGGCCGAGAGGCUGAACCAGCCAAGUCGCGUGAGGGAUGAAGGUUCUAUGGAUCGUAAACCUCUUUUAUAAGGGAAUAAAGUGCGGGACGUGUCCCGUUUUGUAUGUACCUUAUGAAUAAGGAUCGGCUAACUCCGUG